Molecule: long non-coding RNA, 442 nt
Organism: Monopterus albus (swamp eel)
Lineage: Eukaryota; Metazoa; Chordata; Actinopteri; Synbranchiformes; Synbranchidae
Exons: 3
Source: RefSeq, a predicted model, not a curated record
UCCAGCUUCUCUGCAUGUAAACAUCUGGGCUGCCAAUGGAGUGGCCACCCAGGUUGAGUCUGAGCACAGUGUUGCCAUCCUGCACUGGCAGUUUUACAUGACAGUUUGGAUCAACUUGAAGCUCCCCUGAUCAGUCAAAAAGUAUGAGACCUACCUAAGAAAAUACCUGGUUCUUUGAUAAGAAGUCUAAAGUACAAGUCUGGGACAUCAACAAAGUCCUUCUAUAUCUCUAUGAACAGCACAUACAUCACUGAGGCCAGGCUAAACAACCCCUCUCUGGAUAAUCUGCUACAGUUCAACACAGCGCAGCCUGCAUUAUGAGCAUACAGUUGAAUCAGCACCCCUAUAAAAAAGCUUUUCCAUGGCAACGGCAGUCGAGGCUCAUGGGUACUGCAGCAUUUACAUUCACCAGCCACUUUAUUAGGUACACCUGUACAAUUGC